Molecule: long non-coding RNA, 1200 nt
Organism: Perca flavescens (yellow perch)
Lineage: Eukaryota; Metazoa; Chordata; Actinopteri; Perciformes; Percidae
Exons: 3
Source: RefSeq, a predicted model, not a curated record
GCGGAGAAAGGUCUCAACAACAAGCAGAGACAGGUCUCUACCUAAACCGUGGCCAAAUGGCACAGCCUGUUGCCUAGUAACCAUACGUCAUCACGUCACAACAUCACGGUUGUUGCGAGGGAAAAAAUGUCGAAGCGAGUGGCGCCUCCCGGUAAGACAACGGUGGCAAAAGAAUUAAGAAACUGUGAAUUAACUGCUAAAUACCGGGCUGAACAAUACCCCAACGACUACUAUGAAUCUGGACAACAAAGUUUUGUCAACAUACUGUUGACUGGACCCGCAAAAGACACCUGUAAUGACCAUUUGAAAUGAAAAGUUCAUCUCAAGAACAAAGCUAAAUCUACAGCGGGAAAAUCCCUCCAAGUUACCAUUGAGACGACUAAAUCAAUAGAUGCAAGGCGUGAGUUUGUGGAAGAUUUUGUUGCAGUGUGUGCUGAAGCUGACAUACCGCUAGAGAAAAUGAAGAGAAUACGUCCGUUUCUUGUUAAACAUUGCAAGCAGGGAGGCGCGCUUCCAGAAAAUGCCAGCAGCCUCAGGCAGACCCACCUGCUGCGGGUCAUUGACCAGCACAUGCAAAAAGUGCUGCAAGAGAUCCGUGGAAAGAAAAUCUUCGUUGUUGUCGAAGAAACCUCUGACAACCGAGAUCGCAGGGUCCUCAACAUUGUUAUAGGGGCUCAGGGCUCUUUUCCUCUAUGUUCUCUACAUGAUCAUUGGUGUCAACCACAUUAGGCUGUGACCACUCAUUGCUGAAGACUGGGUUGUCAAAGGUGGUUAACGUGUCAGGGACGGAUAAGCGACGAUUGAACUUCUUGAAGAGGAAUAAGGCAAUGACCACCCCAGUGGCAAUCCCAGUAAUGACCACCACAGUUGCCAAAGGGAUCUGUAGCCCAGUCAGAUGGCUGCUUACCUUUCAGCCAAUCACGUAAAUGCAGCUUGUGUGCAUUCAUUAAUAUUGAGACUAAUCUGACUCCAUAGUAGUCUGCCAUGUCUAUCUGCCAAGUCGCCGCUAGAGUAAUCGCUUUAUCUGACGCAGAGAAGCAAGCUUGUGACCGGAAGGCUGUGGUUUAAUCCCCAGAACAGCAGGAUAAAUCUGGGUGGGUGAGGUGAGGUGAGGUGCCCUUGAGCAACACCCUCAACCCCAAUUGCUCCAGUGGAGUUGCUCAGUGGCCAGCAGAUCAGACUGUGGUUGUACUGAACAGC